UUCCAGAAGAAGAAGUACUAA
Molecule: non-coding RNA, 21 nt
Organism: Caenorhabditis elegans
Lineage: Eukaryota; Metazoa; Nematoda; Chromadorea; Rhabditida; Rhabditidae
Source: Ensembl